Molecule: ribosomal RNA, 253 nt
Filed under: uncultured bacterium
Lineage: Bacteria
Description: partial 16S ribosomal RNA
Rfam family: Bacterial small subunit ribosomal RNA
Source: RNAcentral
GACGAACCGUGCGAACGUUGUUCGGAAUCACUGGGCUUAAAGGGCGCGUAGGCGGGCUACCAAGUCUGUGGUGAAAUCCUCCGGCUCAACCGGAGAACGGCCGUGGAUACUGGGAGCCUCGAGGGAGAUAGGGGCAGGCGGAACUGAUGGUGGAGCGGUGAAAUGCGUUGAUAUCAUCAGGAACUCCGGUGGCGAAGGCGGCCUGCUGGAUCUCAUCUGACGCUGAGGCGCGAAAGCCAGGGGAGCAAACGGG